Long non-coding RNA from Olea europaea var. sylvestris, 1451 nucleotides. RefSeq lists it as uncharacterized. The record is from RefSeq and is a predicted model, not a curated record. Lineage: Eukaryota; Viridiplantae; Streptophyta; Magnoliopsida; Lamiales; Oleaceae. The transcript has 3 exons.
CAAACUUAUAUAUCCAUAAUCCAAAUCCAAUAACCACAACAAUCCAUUUAUAAUUUACCCAAAAUCUGAAAAAUCAAAUACGUAUAUGCUGCCGGCUGCUCAUCCUGCUGUGUCGUCUCCGUUGCUCCGACUGCGACAGUCCGACUCUCCAUGACCACAACUCUGUCUCUGGUCUCCACCGUCAGGUCAAUCCACUGUCCAUUUGGCCAUUACCAUUCAGUUUGGCCUCAUUUUCAUCACUUUCAUUUGUCUUUAGAUUGACCUCUUUCCCUUUGCCUUCAAGCCCUAGGGUCUUUGCCAAAACUGCCUUUUUGUGGAUGUGGGGUGUGGGCUGUGUGGAACUGUGGAUCAAUUUCCUUGCCAACUAUGAAUCCAAUCUCUUUUUUCUGUUUGUCACUACGGCACUACCUAAGCAAGCAGAUGUGUUGGGCUAAUGGAAAUAUGAGAGUUUGAAUGGUUAGGACAUGAGCAAGUAAUAAUGCAAUAUACAUUUUAGCUGCUGCAAUUCUAAUUUGAAUGUUUGAAUGGUAAGGAUCAAUGACAAACUUCUAAAAGAAUUAACACAAUAUUCUUGAAGUGUUUUUAACCUUAUAAUUUAGGUAUCACAUGGGUAGUAUGCUGUAUGAACAUAUUUUAAAUAAUUUUUACUUUGUUAUAUCUGUUUUUAUUUUGUACAAUCAUAGCGUGAAUUUUAAUUCUUUACUUUCAGCUGAUGUAGUCUUUGGAAUGGUCAGUAAAUGGUAUGAAGAUAUCCUCAUCCAACCCUGGGGCCUUCUAUAAAUUUUAAUCAUUGUGGAAAAUUAUUGGCUUCAGUUUGUUACUUGACUAGAAAACUAUGUAUUAUCUUUAUGGAUCAUACUGAUCAAUCAAGUGAAAUUGGGUGUCUUGUUUCUCUACUAGCGUCUUAUGUCAAGCUUUAAGUUUUUUCCCUCUUUAUGAGUGGAUGGACUUUCUCGUGGUGGGGAAAGUAGCUCAAGCUAUACCCCUCCUUGAUUGAUUUUUAAACAAUGUUUUUCCCCAAAAAAUGGCCACCAAACAGGGGCUUAGUGCAAAAAAGUUUCUGCAUUUGUGGAUAAGAAGAUAAAUUUAUACUACAAGAAAAAAGCCUUGAAUGAUUUCAAAAUUUCUAUGAGUUAUAGUUGAACCAGACAAUUUCAACCUUUUAAGAUCUGAAGCUUACAAGGCUUGAUAAGCUUUGGGACAAUAUAAGGGUCAGUUGAUGUAGUAUUUGGAGCAAUAUAAGGGUCAGUUGUGGCUCAUGAGCUUGAGAAUGACCUUGGAAAGGGUGGUCAUGAACUUAGUCUAAGCACUGGCAAAAUACCAGGAAGAAGACUGAAAACAUCGUUGACACAAUCCAAACAUUUCUUCAAAUUGUGAUCAGCUUACCACCAAUUCAGAAAAAGGGAUCAUUCUCAAAGGUGUAAUUCCAAAAUUUUCAUCAAAAUUCCACU